CAAGUGUUGGGAUUAAAGGCGUAUGC
This 26-nucleotide non-coding RNA is filed under the name Cricetulus griseus (Chinese hamster). Lineage: Eukaryota; Metazoa; Chordata; Mammalia; Rodentia; Cricetidae. The record is from RNAcentral.